Cajanus cajan (pigeon pea) is the source of this 381-nucleotide long non-coding RNA. RefSeq lists it as uncharacterized. The record is from RefSeq and is a predicted model, not a curated record. Lineage: Eukaryota; Viridiplantae; Streptophyta; Magnoliopsida; Fabales; Fabaceae.
AGUCCAUUGAGCUUGCCUUCUUCUUUUGUCUCAAUGAUUUCGUUGAAAGUUAUCCUUGCAGCCAUGGUUAUUGUUCUAUUUUCACUAGGAGUAAGUAGCGAACAGUGCUGUCCAGGAACUUGCCAUGAUUUUCCUAACUGUGAUGCCGCAUGCAAAAGUCUAGGCUAUAAGAUCGGAGAAUGCAUUCCACCUCAAAAUUACUUCUGUUGUUGUGCCGAGCCAACGCUUCAAACCACCUGCAAAGGUCUAGACUUGAAUGAUACCAAAUAGAGUUUUGAUCAAUGAUCAUACAGAAAGCAAUGUGUGUGUGUGUUAUUUUUAAUAAAUAUUAGCUUCGUUACUGGAAAUAAAAAGCAGUACGAAUGUGAGUUAGUAUUUUAA